UCCGAGUUGACCCCGGCAGUCUCCUGCGAGUCCCCGCCAUUACGCGCUGGCAACACAGGACAAGGGUUGCGCUCGUUGCGGGACUUAACCCAACAUCUCACGACACGAGCUGACGACAGCCAUGCACCACCUGUACACCGACUCAAAGAGGGCACUCAUCUCUGGAUGUUUCCGGCGCAUGUCAAGCCCAGGUAAGGUUCUUCGCGUUGCAUCGAAUUAAGCCACAUGCUCCGCCGCUUGUGCGGGUCCCCGUCAAUUCCUUUGAGUUUUAGCCUUGCGGCCGUACUCCCCAGGCGGGGUGCUUAAUGCGUUAGCUUCGGCACGGAGAGGGUUGAAGACCUCCCCACACCUAGCACCCAACGUUUACGGCUGGGACUAC
This 379-nucleotide unclassified non-coding RNA is filed under the name uncultured Actinomycetes bacterium. RNAcentral's name for it is "uncultured actinobacterium contains 16S-23S intergenic spacer region". The record is from RNAcentral. Lineage: Bacteria; Bacillati; Actinomycetota; Actinomycetes.